AUACUUACCUGGCAGGGGAGAUGCCAUGACCACGAAAGAGGUUUUUCCCAGGGCAAGGCUUGUGCAUUGUACUCUGGAUGGGCUGACCCCUGCGAUUUCCCCAAAUGUGGGAAACUUGACUGCAUAAUUUGUGGAAGUGGGGUACUGUGCCCAUGCUCUCCCCUU
This is a small nuclear RNA of Peromyscus maniculatus bairdii (prairie deer mouse), 165 nucleotides long. Its record names the gene U1. It matches the Rfam family "U1 spliceosomal RNA". From Rfam's summary of the family: U1 is a small nuclear RNA (snRNA) component of the spliceosome (involved in pre-mRNA splicing). Its 5' end forms complementary base pairs with the 5' splice junction, thus defining the 5' donor site of an intron. There are significant differences in sequence and secondary structure between metazoan and yeast U1 snRNAs, the latter being much longer (568 nucleotides as compared to 164 nucleotides in human). Lineage: Eukaryota; Metazoa; Chordata; Mammalia; Rodentia; Cricetidae. The record is from Ensembl.